This is a long non-coding RNA of Homo sapiens (human), 478 nucleotides long. Ensembl annotates it as AGBL1 antisense RNA 1. Its record names the gene AGBL1-AS1. The record is from Ensembl. NCBI's taxonomy places the organism in Eukaryota, Metazoa, Chordata, Mammalia, Primates, Hominidae.
AGUAUUGAUAGACUGCCUUUAUGCAAAUCCCUUUGGAAGAAAGGAUGGAGAGGAAGAAGCCGGAAACAGAUGAGAGGCAGGAAAUACCAAAUUGCAUGUUUAUAAAUGCUGUGAAGGAAUAUGGCAAGAGGGGAUAAUGCUAGACUGGCGGCCAUGGAAACUGAAGUCUUCUGUUUGUUCACAGGACGGCUCAUAGCCCUGAAAGUCCCAGUUCAAGCUUCCACAAUCAUCCUACACAAGAGCACUGCUUCUCACAGGACUGCCUCAGCCUGGCAGGAUUCAGUCUCCUGCUCUGAGGGAAAAACAGGAAGUCAAGGAUCAAGACCGAGUGCUCAACUGAGAUCAGAAAGGAGGACACACAGUGACUUGGCCAAAUCACUGGAGAUUCACACAGCAGAGCUCAGACGAGUGCUAUCAGCACAGCUGAGGAAGACAACAGUUAGGGUGCAAGGAUCCUGAAAGAGAAACAUUGGUUGUG